UUAAACUUCUUAUCUCAUAAUUUUCUUGAAAACUCAAACAUCAACAUGGCUAAAAAUCCAAAAGAUACAUCUUCAACAAAGUGUUUUUCAAGCAUUUUUCAAAGGCUUAUAUGUGGUGGAAGUUUACCAACACACCCUUGUGAUCAAUUUAAAGAAGCAAACACAACAACAUAUGAGGCAAAUAGUAACAAAUUAGUUGGAGGAGCCAAUAGUAGUCCAGGAAUUGUGGCAAGGCUAAUGGGAUUAGAGUCAUUACCUAGAGAAGAAAAAAGUAAAUUUGGUUCAUUUUCAAGAAGCAAAUCAGCUAAUUCACUAGAUUACUUGAUGCAAUUUGAUCUAACUCAACAAUUUCAUCAUAGAAGAGUUAGAACAUCUCUAUCUUUUCGCGAAAUUCCGAAUCAAGAGGAGUCCAAGUCUGAGUAUUUAGUGUUUUGCAUCAAUGAUGAAAAACAAGAAAUGAUGAAGCCAAAGAAAAAGAGACAAAAUGUUGAGAAGAAACAAGUUAGUGGAAAACAAAACAGGAUUGGUAAUAAUAAAGUGAAAAAACAAGUGAUCAAGUUUGAAGAUUAUCCUACAAAAAUGUGUGUUGAAUCUAAGAAGAAUAAGAGAAAGAGCAAAUGUGUAGUGUCUACCAAGAUUCAACCUUUAUAUUAUAAUUCAACUCCAAAUGAUCAUCUUCAACAAGAUGCUACUAUCCCUUCAGAAGGGAAAAUUCAGGUAAAUUCAGAUGCAAUGAAAAGCAAAGUAGAGAAGCACAAGGAGAUUAGUAAAGAGAAAGAUCAUUACAUAAAAGUGGUUGGAGAAAUUUGUAGAUUAACAGAAGAAGAGUUAAAUGAGUCACAUUGGAUAACAUCAAUUAGAAAUGGAGAAAACAUCAACUUUGAAGAUUUAUGCCAACAAUUUGGACAACAACUUCUUCAACUAUUAAUAGAUCAACUAGUCCAUGAACUUGUAAUCUUUGCACAAUGAACAUAUUCAUGUGUGUUUCCUACUUGUUUAAUUGUUGUAUAAUAUCAUGUGAUUCCCAAUUCUACAACAAAUGUACUAGGAAUUUGGAAUCCAAAAGACUAAAG
This 1073-nucleotide unclassified non-coding RNA is filed under the name Hevea brasiliensis (rubber tree). The record is from RNAcentral. Lineage: Eukaryota; Viridiplantae; Streptophyta; Magnoliopsida; Malpighiales; Euphorbiaceae.